This 253-nucleotide ribosomal RNA is filed under the name uncultured bacterium. Its description in RNAcentral is "partial 16S ribosomal RNA". It matches the Rfam family "Bacterial small subunit ribosomal RNA", at positions 524 to 776 of the family's 1533-position model. The record is from RNAcentral.
UACGAAGGGGGCUAGCGUUGUUCGGAAUCACUGGGCUUAAAGGGCGCGUAGGCGGGCCAGACAGUCUGUGGUGAAAGCCUCCAGCUUAACUGGAGAAGUGCCGUGGAUACUGCUGGCCUCGAGGAGGGUAGGGGCAUCUGGAACGGUCGGUGGAGCGGUGAAAUGCGUUGAUAUCGACCGGAACUCCGGUGGCGAAGGCGAGGUGCUGGACCCUUUCUGACGCUGAGGCGCGAAAGCCAGGGGAGCAAACGGG